GAAAGAAAGAAAAGAAGAAAGAAAGAAAGAAAGGAAGGAAGGAAGAAAGGAAGGAAGAAAAGUGCCCCCCUUAUAGUCAUAUAACCAAAAACAAGUCCAGAUUUAAAUUCUCUACUUGAUGUUCCCUGUGUCUUCCAUCUGUAUAAGAAUCCUAAGGCUGGAAGGAAUGCCAGCUAUCAAGUAGACUAAUAUGGUUUGAUCAAGCAAGACCCCCGGAAGCAGUGACCCAACUGAUCCUACAUUCAAAACAGCUGGGACGAUACAGCCUUACAGACUACAAAAACAAGGACUUGAUUUAGUUUGUUGAGACAAGGUCCCAUGUGUUCCAGUCUGGCUCUGAACUUGCUACUUGACUGAGGCUGGCACUGAACUCCUGAUCUUCCUAAUCCAGUCUUUCAGGUAAUGAUGCUGCCACUCCCUUCUGAGGAACUCAGAAACAAUGGAAUUAUUGUGGCUCUUUCCUACUACCACCAUGCCUCAGAGGCCAUGUGAUCAUGAGAAAAUGCUGAAAGAGAAACUUUUGGUCCUGGGCUCACUGACUUAUUGGAGUUCAGAGAGGCCUGUAGCUGUGAGGUGAUGUGUGACUCCAUCCAGAUACCACAGUGGCUCAACAAAUGAACUAUGUCAGUGUGAAAUGUCUUUGUAAUGUCUGCAGAUACUUCUGUUGGGGAGACCCAGUCAUGGGCUUUUAAAAUUACUACACAUUUGAAACAAUAGCAUGGAAUACUUACAACAUUCAUUUAGUUUCCUAAGUGCAUAAAAGUUUAAACAUUUUAAAUUAGAAUUUAAAGAUAAUGUUAUGAACACGUGUCCCUUCAUGAACAUAUAAGUGAAUCUGUCUGUCUUGUAGUUGUGUGUCAUACUGGACAGGGACUGACUGAAUAUUUCAGAACAACUUCUUCUGACAAAGAAGGCAUAAAACUAACUUGUCAUUAAAGAUGCUUGUGUUGCCAGUUUCUAUAUAAAGAAAAGCUCACUGCAUCUGUUACUGUGAGUAAAGAAGCAAACGAAUACCAGAAGGGAAAAGUUAAGCAUUCAGCAAAUCAAUGACAUUCAUUGCUGUUUUUCCCACAAAAUGCAAGUCUGGUGAUAGUUUUUACAUAUUUAUACAUUAUGAAAUUUAAAAAUUCUAAUUACCAAUUUUUAAAACCCUAUGGGAUUGAUACAUGAUGAAUUCUAGUGUGUUUUGUUUAUGAUCUGUCUUUUGAUUUUAACAAUUAUCUUACUGGGUAGCUCCGUGUGUGGUAUGUGUGUGAACACAUGUGGGUGUGGAUGCAUUGUGUUUAUGAACUAUUUUUAAACAACAGCUUUAGGUUCACACCCCAGUUAAGAAGCACAUACAAAGAGCAUCCAUAUACCCCUGCUUUCACACGUAUACAGUCUCCUCUACUACCAACCUAACACCAGUGAUGUUUUUGAUAGAGUGAUACCACAUGCCACCUGCAGCCCACAGUUUAUAUUGGGAUUUACUCUUACUGGUCUACAUCCUAUGGGUUGCAACUCCUGGGGCAUGGCAUUUGUCCACUGUUGUACAGGUGACAUACUUUCACAGCAAUAAAAACCCUCUGCUCAUGCGGUUCACCUUUAUAUCCCAAAUGGCCUCUGCCAACCACUGAUCUUCAUACUGUCUCCAUAGAUUUUCCUUUUCCAGAAUGCUAUGUAGUUGGAGUCAUAUAGUACAGAGCUUUUGCAAAUUGCCUUCUUUCAUGUAGCAAGAUGCACUUAAGUGUCUUCUUGUAUUUUGUGGUUUAAAAAUGUACUUCAUUUUAGUGCUGAUAAAUAUUCCAUUGUCAG
This 1794-nucleotide long non-coding RNA is filed under the name Cricetulus griseus (Chinese hamster). RNAcentral's name for it is "lncRNA (ENSCGRG00015041575.1)". The record is from RNAcentral. Lineage: Eukaryota; Metazoa; Chordata; Mammalia; Rodentia; Cricetidae.